GACGAACGCUGGCGGCGUGCCUAAUACAUGCAAGUAGAACGCUGAGGACUGGUGCUUGCACUGGUCUAAGGAGUUGCGAACGGGUGAAUAACGCGUAGGUAACCUACCUCAUAGCGGGGGAUAACUAUUGGAAACGAUAGCUAAUACCGCAUAUUUCUAAUCGUCUCCUGACGAAUGGAAGAAAGGUGGCUUCGGCUACUGCUUAUGGAUGGACCCGCGGCGUAUUAGCUAGUUGGUGAGGUAAUGGCUCACCAAGGCGAUGAUACGUAGCCGACCUGAGAGGGUGAUCGGCCACACUGGGACUGAGGCACGGCCCAG
This 318-nucleotide ribosomal RNA is filed under the name uncultured bacterium. Its description in RNAcentral is "bacterial SSU rRNA". It matches the Rfam family "Bacterial small subunit ribosomal RNA", at positions 28 to 334 of the family's 1533-position model. The record is from RNAcentral.